CCUACGGGUGGCUGCAGUGGGGAAUAUUGCGCAAUGGGCGAAAGCCUGACGCAGCGACGCCGCGUGAGGGAUGAAGGUCUUCGGAUCGUAAACCUCUGUCAGCAGGGAAGAACGGUCACUGUGCUAAUCAGCAGUGAAUUGACGGUACCUGCAAAGGAAGCACCGGCUCACUCCGUGCCAGCAGCCGCGGUAAUACGGAGGGUGCGAGCGUUAAUCGGAAUUACUGGGCGUAAAGCGCUCGUAGGCGGUAUGUCAAGGCAAGGGUGAAAUCCCGGCGCUCAACGUGGGAACUGCAUUUGAAACUGGCAAACUGGAGUGUGUGAGAGGAUAGUGGAAUUCGAGGUGUAGGAGUGAAAUGCGUAGAUAUCUGGAGGAACAUCAGUGGCGAAGGCGACUAUCUGGCACAUAACUGACGCUGAGGAGCGAAAGCGUGGGUAGCAAACAGGAUUAGAUACCCCAGUAGUC
RNAcentral lists this ribosomal RNA (465 nucleotides) under uncultured bacterium. RNAcentral describes it as "partial 16S ribosomal RNA". It matches the Rfam family "Bacterial small subunit ribosomal RNA", at positions 338 to 795 of the family's 1533-position model. The record is from RNAcentral.